GUCCGCCAGAAAAUUACGGGCGAAAGCCUAAAACUCAAAAGACUUGACGGUGUUCCAAUCUCCCUAGAGGAGCCUGUUCCAUAAUCGACAACCCACGAUAUACCUUACCACCCUUUGAACACUCAGCCUAUAUACCGCCGUCGCACAGCCUACCUUUAAAAGGAUACAAGUAGGCCAAAUAGUAAUAUACUAAUAAGUCAGGUCAAGGUGUAGCCAAUGGGGUGGAGGAAAUGGGCUACAUUGUUUAUAUUAAAACACACGAACUUACUUCCCUGAAAAAAGAAAACAAAGGCGGAUUUAGCAGUAAUUUAAACAAGAAUAUUUAAGUUAA
This 331-nucleotide ribosomal RNA is filed under the name Cercosaura manicata (slender Prionodactylus). Its description in RNAcentral is "partial 12S ribosomal RNA". It matches the Rfam family "Bacterial small subunit ribosomal RNA", at positions 867 to 1366 of the family's 1533-position model. Lineage: Eukaryota; Metazoa; Chordata; Lepidosauria; Squamata; Gymnophthalmidae. The record is from RNAcentral.